Sitophilus oryzae (rice weevil) is the source of this 1572-nucleotide long non-coding RNA. RefSeq lists it as uncharacterized. The record is from RefSeq and is a predicted model, not a curated record. The transcript has 6 exons. Lineage: Eukaryota; Metazoa; Arthropoda; Insecta; Coleoptera; Curculionidae.
CGGGCUGCCUAGUAGUGCGUAGUAAUUCACAUAGUCGAAGUGAUUUUUAACCUGUAAUAUAUUGUUUUCUUGUUCCUGUGUUUCUGGAUGUGCUUUAUUUGGAUAUUAUAUCACAUUAAAUAAUCUUGACUCAAGGGGCUCUAGAGCUGAGUAUAUGGUUUAAAUUUUAACCCGAUACUUCUACGCGUUCCCGAGACAGAUGGCAGACGGUUGGAUGGACAACAAAGUGAUCUUAUAAGAGUUUCUGUUGAGGUAUGGAACCCUAAAUAUGGACACAAUUUAACUGAAUACAGUUGCUGUGGUUUGUAGAGUACAGUGUUUAAAAGUCCAAUUUUCAUUGCAACCAAGAAUUAAGAGUCCAACAAAGACAAUUUUGAGUGAUUUAAUCAACAUACGGCGUCAUUAUCAUGGUGAAGUUUCUACAAGAAAAUCAACGGUGAAAACUUUCCUGGACUAAAUAACUGUGCUUUUGGGUAAACGUGUGGACUCAUCAUUUCCUGUUGACUUCACAGCCCAUCGGAGACCACUUUAGCAGCAGUUUGGCAAACACAGGAAUUGAUUAAUUGUAAGGUGAAGUUUCUACAAGAAAAUCAUUGGUGAAAACUUUCCUGGACUAAAUAACUGUGCUGUUGCUAAACGUGUGGACUCGUCAUUCCCUCAGAAGACUUCACAGCCCAUCGGAGACAAUUUUAACAGCUGUUUUGGCAAACACAGGAAUGGAUUAAUUAUAAAAACAUCAACAUGGUUUCAUGAAGGGAAAAUCCACACUUUGAGCCGUUUUUGAACUCACUAAAGAAAUAAUAAAUAAUAUGGAAAGAGGCGAACUUUCACUAGGUCUAUUUUUAGACUUAUCCAAAGCAUAUGACUGUGUGGAUAGAACUUUAUUAAUUAAGAAACUCCAAUUAUAUGGUAUAAGAUGUAACGCAUUACAAUUAUUAACGUCAUACUUAAAUGGAAGACAUGAUGGGAAAAUAUUAUUUUUCUGAUAUAAAAGAAAAUUCAGCAGUUAUUGCACAGGGAAGUAUAAUUGGCCCUAUCCUCUUUUCUAUUUUUAUUAACGAUCUAAACGUAAUAACAACUGCAUCACAAGGAAAAAUUGUAUCUUAUGCUGGGGGAUGACACAAAUAUAAUUGUUGCAGGAUAUACUUUUGUACAUCUGCGUGAAAGAGUCUACCUAAUGAUAUUAAAAAUAUUAUUUGUGAAACUCAAUUCAAAAAACGACUUCUGUUAAUUAAUCUAGAACCAUACUCAGAGUUUUUCUGUAAGUUUUUUCAAAUUGGAUUUUAUUGGACAGUCUGUUGUGUUUAAAUUGUUACAAGAACUACUUGUUUAGAAUUUACUACUUGUUUAUAAUUUAAGAAUCAAGUGUUAUUGUUUUGAAUAUCGUAAUUUUUGUUUUAAUUUUGACGAUCAUUUCAUUUUGUGUUUGUGCAGGCGCUACGUUUUGUACCUACCAAUUCUGAAAUAAAGAUUAUUUAUAUUAUUAUUUAUUAUUAUUUUAUUAUGUAAUGGGUAAAUUGGUCUAAAAAUAACGGUAUAUAACAAGCAGUAUUUAAUUUAACAAAUAAAAUU